CAGCCGCCGCGGUAAUACGGGGGGGGCAAGUGUUAUUCGGAAUGACUGGGCGUAAAGCGUGCGUAGGUGGUGGUUUAAGUCCGUUGUGAAAGCCCUGGGCUCAACCUGGGAAUUGCAGUGGAUACUGGGUCACUAGAGUGUGGUAGAGGAUAGUGGAAUUUCCGGUGUAGCAGUGAAAUGCGUAGAGAUCGGAAGGAACAUCUGUGGCGAAGGCGACUAUCUGGGCCAACACUGACACUGAGGCACGAAAGCGUGGGGAGCAAACAGGAUUAGAUACCCCAGUAGUCCCUGUCUCUUAUAC
This 301-nucleotide ribosomal RNA is filed under the name uncultured bacterium. RNAcentral's name for it is "partial 16S ribosomal RNA". It matches the Rfam family "Bacterial small subunit ribosomal RNA", at positions 509 to 807 of the family's 1533-position model. The record is from RNAcentral.